Molecule: transfer RNA, 63 nt
Filed under: Blattisocius keegani
Lineage: Eukaryota; Metazoa; Arthropoda; Arachnida; Mesostigmata; Blattisociidae
Description: tRNA-Met
Source: RNAcentral
AGUAAGAUAAACUAUAUAUAAGUUAUAGGUUUCAUAAUCCUAAUAAGGUUUAUCCUCUUACUU